CGAACCCGGCAGUUAAGCCCUCCAGCGCCGAUGGUACUGCGGUGUGUAACCGUGGGAGAGUAGGUCGCCGCCGGAA
This is a non-coding RNA of Synergistales bacterium 54_9, 76 nucleotides long. Lineage: Bacteria; Thermotogati; Synergistota; Synergistia; Synergistales. The record is from Rfam.